This is a transfer RNA of Fusarium graminearum, 96 nucleotides long. It matches the Rfam family "tRNA". Rfam says of the family: Transfer RNA (tRNA) molecules are approximately 80 nucleotides in length. Their secondary structure includes four short double-helical elements and three loops (D, anti-codon, and T loops). NCBI's taxonomy places the organism in Eukaryota, Fungi, Ascomycota, Sordariomycetes, Hypocreales, Nectriaceae. The record is from Rfam.
GGGCGAAUGGUUUAGUGGUAUAAUACUCCCUUAGCAUGUUUCCUCCUGUGGAAUCGUCAUUGGGAGUGGUCCAGGGUUCGAUUCCCUGUUCGUCCA